CAGUCGCCGCGGGAAUACGUAGGUGGCAAGCGUUGUCCGGAAUUAUUGGGCGUAAAGGGCUCGCAGGCGGUUUCUUAAGUCUGAUGUGAAAGCCCCCGGCUCAACCGGGGAGGGUCAUUGGAAACUGGGAAACUUGAGUGCAGAAGAGGAGGGUGGAAUUCCACGUGUAGCGGUGAAAUGCGUAGAGAUGUGGAGGAACACCAGUGGCGAAGGCGACUCUCUGGUCUGUAACUGACGCUGAGGAGCGAAAGCGUGGGGAGCGAACAGGAUUAGAUACCCCCGUAGUCCCUGUCUCUUAUAC
Molecule: ribosomal RNA, 301 nt
Filed under: uncultured bacterium
Lineage: Bacteria
Description: partial 16S ribosomal RNA
Rfam family: Bacterial small subunit ribosomal RNA
Source: RNAcentral